RNAcentral lists this long non-coding RNA (569 nucleotides) under Equus caballus (horse). Its description in RNAcentral is "lncRNA (ENSECAG00000056209.1)". The record is from RNAcentral. Lineage: Eukaryota; Metazoa; Chordata; Mammalia; Perissodactyla; Equidae.
GUUUUGUUUCGCAACGUGUUGCCGCGCACGUCGGGAACCUCAAAGUGAAGCGCCAGAUUCUGUAACAGAUUGUCACCAGGUGACAACGCUUCCCCGGGAUUUGUUUUUUGGUAGAUUAAUUUGCCCAGAUUUGAUACGAGGACGGUGUUGCGACUUCCCAUCCAGCGAUGUGGUUAUUUCUCUAGGAAUUCAAGUCUUCCCUUAUUCGGGGGAAGUCUUCCAGUUGUCUUGGUGUUUUGCACAUUUCUUUUUAGGUUUUCCCCUGGCAGUUUUUAUUGCUGUUUUAGUUUGCUUGCUCUUCCUGUUGGACUAUUAUUGCGCCCUAGGAUAGUUUGGUUUUUGGGAUGGUGAUCUAUGUGGUCACUUCGCUAAAGGAGUUAACGGGCAUUCUUAUACACAUCUGAUGGAGCACAUGGCAAGAAUUUUCGGUGCCUUCUGCCCAGAAGUCUCAUCCCACCUGCUCUUCCCAUGGCUGACUCAUCUUUCAGUCUCAGCUUGAUUCAGUCUGGUUCUUAGUUACAAACAGAAUCUGCUCUGGCUGAGAAAGGGACUUUAUUAAUAUUAUGUAG